UUCUCGGCCUUUUGGCUAAGAUCAAGUGUAGUAUCUGUUCUUAUCAGUUUAAUAUCUGAUAUGUGGGUCAUCGGCCCACACGAUAUUAAAUUUAUUUCUUGAGGGGAGAGCCCACCACAGUAGCUUGCUACUGGGGCUUUUAAGCGUCGCCCAUGCGUUGCACUAUAGCUCGGGCCUGGCGCACCCCACCCAAUUCUGGUUCAAAGCUUCACAUGUUUGCUUUAUGUGGAUGACCCAAAUUUUCUGUAGCCAUUAAGCUCUGUAUGUUAAUGACAGCCGCAUCAACAGUGUAGAAUGAAGGCAGUGUAGCAUCCAACUAUGUCAAAUGAUCCAUGUAGAGUGCAUCUGCAUCCUUCGAGUCUUUAUGAAAGUAAAUGCAAUUAUUCCAAUCGCAUCCGAGUUGUUUGAAAUGUUGGACAAGUUAUUGAACAGUUAUCUGAAGUCUAAGCCUAUUAUUGUACUCACCUUGUGAAGUCUGGUUGUAAGCAUUAUUGUGCAAGAAGACUCGUCAGAGCCUUUAAUUUCCUAGUAAUUAAGAAAGGGGAAGAGUGUGAAAAAGAGCAAACGUUGACAGUCUCUUGCCUAGUUGCCUUUAUCAUGUUGAAUCAAUUAAAAUUGUGUUUUCGUGUAA
Quercus robur (English oak) is the source of this 631-nucleotide long non-coding RNA. RefSeq lists it as uncharacterized. NCBI's taxonomy places the organism in Eukaryota, Viridiplantae, Streptophyta, Magnoliopsida, Fagales, Fagaceae. The transcript has 2 exons. The record is from RefSeq and is a predicted model, not a curated record.